Long non-coding RNA from Peromyscus leucopus (white-footed mouse), 750 nucleotides. RefSeq lists it as uncharacterized. The transcript is spliced from 2 exons. NCBI's taxonomy places the organism in Eukaryota, Metazoa, Chordata, Mammalia, Rodentia, Cricetidae. The record is from RefSeq and is a predicted model, not a curated record.
GCUGCUCACACCGGAUGGCACUGUCCUCUGCAGACAGGACAAGAGACCAGACUAUGAAGCUUGACCUGGACCCCAGCCAAGGCCCAGAAGGCCACUCUGGCUACCAAGACAGAAAUAUACCCACGAAUGCAACACAAAUGAGCAACAUGUCAGAAUAGGAAGGCUGGAACUGUGUGUCAGAAGACUGGAAAGCUGGGGACCCUAACUCUGGCAGAGCCAUGCAAGGGGCCUUGAGCACCCCAGGGUGGGGCCUAUGAGUGCCUGCCUUGUCCUUAACCGGCUCAGAUGGAGUCAAUGUGCCCUUACCUCCAGUAGGCACCGGCUCAGUAUUUUCCUGCACAGGUCGGGCUCAGUUAAGACUGGAACGGAGAAAUGAGAAAAACCUGCCCUGAGCCAUAGUCAGGGUCCUCCACUAAAGCAGCCCUUCAGUCAAAUCUCACUUUUAAGGGGAGAACCACAGGCAAAACAGCUGCUGCCCCUGGGGACAGAAAGCCCCGUCAGCGUCAGAUGGCCAAAUGAUGCUUCAGAAAACUGGAUUCACUAGCAGUGGCUUUUAGAUAGAGAACAAAAAGUUGACACUGAGUAUCUCAGGCUCCAUCGAAGAUCAUGUGUAAUGACCAAAUUACCAUGGUCUAAAACCUCCUCUACUGCAUCCAAAUUAGCAGAAAUAAUCAUGAUUCACUUUAAUUAGUGACUAUGGAAAUGAAGCCAAGGGCUGGUGGGCAGAGAGCCUGGCAUGGCAGCUGCUGG